Molecule: ribosomal RNA, 394 nt
Filed under: uncultured Oceanospirillaceae bacterium
Lineage: Bacteria; Pseudomonadati; Pseudomonadota; Gammaproteobacteria; Oceanospirillales; Oceanospirillaceae
Description: bacterial SSU rRNA
Rfam family: Bacterial small subunit ribosomal RNA
Source: RNAcentral
GUCGAGCGGUAACAGGAAUUAGCUUGCUAAUUUGCUGACGAGCGGCGGACGGGUGAGUAACGCGUAGGAAUCCGCCUGGUAGUGGGGGACAACAUGUGGAAACGCAUGCUAAUACCGCAUACGCCCUACGGGGGAAAGGAGGGGAUCUUCGGACCUUUCGCUAUCAGAUGAGCCUGCGUGAGAUUAGCUAGUUGGUGGGGUAAAGGCUCACCAAGGCGACGAUCUCUAGCUGGUCUGAGAGGAUGAUCAGCCACACUGGGACUGAGACACGGCCCAGACUCCUACGGGAGGCAGCAGUGGGGAAUAUUGGACAAUGGGCGCAAGCCUGAUCCAGCCAUGCCGCGUGUGUGAAGAAGGCCUUCGGAUUGUAAAGCACUUUCAGAAGUGAGGAAGG